RNAcentral lists this ribosomal RNA (320 nucleotides) under uncultured Chloroflexota bacterium. RNAcentral's name for it is "bacterial SSU rRNA". It matches the Rfam family "Bacterial small subunit ribosomal RNA", at positions 28 to 351 of the family's 1533-position model. The record is from RNAcentral. Lineage: Bacteria; Bacillati; Chloroflexota.
GAUGAACGCUGGCGGCGUGCUUAACACAUGCAAGUCGAACGGACCUAGUCUUUCGGGAUUGGGUUAGUGGCAGACGGGUGCGUAACACGUGGGUGACCUGCCCUGGAGUGGGGAAUAAUCUUACGAAAGUGAGACUAAUACCGCAUAGGCUUAGUGAUGCGAGUUACUGAGUAAAGCCUUUGGGUGCUCUGGGAUGGGCCUGCGGCGGAUUAGGUAGUUGGUGGGGUAAAGGCCUACCAAGCCGAUGAUCCGUAGGGGGCGUGAGAGCGUGGCCCCCCACACUGGCACUGAGAUACGGGCCAGACUCCUACGGGUGGCAG